RNAcentral lists this ribosomal RNA (254 nucleotides) under uncultured bacterium. Its description in RNAcentral is "partial 16S ribosomal RNA". It matches the Rfam family "Bacterial small subunit ribosomal RNA", at positions 524 to 776 of the family's 1533-position model. The record is from RNAcentral.
UACGUAGGGACCAAGCGUUGUCCGGAAUCAUUGGGCGUAAAGGGCGCGUAGGUGGCCCGGUCAGUUCGUGGUGAAAGCGCGGGGCUCAACCCUGCGUCGGCCAUGAAUACUGCCGCGGCUGGAGCACUGUAGAGGCAGGCGGAAUUCCGGGUGUAGCGGUGGAAUGCGUAGAGAUCCGGAAGAACACCUGUGGCGAAGGCGGAUCUCUGGGCCUGUCCUGACGCUGAGGCGCGAAAGCUAGGGGAGCGAACAGG